RNAcentral lists this unclassified non-coding RNA (230 nucleotides) under uncultured Cryptococcus. RNAcentral describes it as "sequence contains ITS2". Lineage: Eukaryota; Fungi; Basidiomycota; Tremellomycetes. The record is from RNAcentral.
AAUCAUCCACCCUGACUUUUGGUUAGUUCCAUUGGGCUUGGCUGGGAUUUGGGUGCUUGCCUCUGAUAAAGAGGCUCGCCUUAAACUGAUUUCGAAUUGACUCUGUUAACAGUUGGUUUGACUUGGCAUUAUAAGUUAUUUUGCUGAGGACAUCUUCACGGAUGGCCAAUUUGUAGACUCUGUCAUGUGCAGCUUGUGGUUACACCUAGCUGUGCGCAACAUCUUUUGAC